UCAGUUCGGACGCAGCGAACACCCGAAGACCCACCAACCAGUGAACAUACCUCUACUUCUUUUACGUGGUCCAUGAGGCUGCUGAAACAACCGACGUGAAAAUGUAGACGAGAGGGAUUCGGUGCGGAGCGCGACAGUUUACCUGAACCCUACGGGGUCGGUGCUUGAACAAUCCGUACGCAACCAUAAACUGGUCUGAUUAGAGUUUGAAAUUUCCUCACAUUUCGAACAAUUUGAGAAGAGCACUUCGAGAUACAUGCAAUUAGUUUAGAGCAGACUCGUAGUUUGAGAUCGAGAUUAAUCGUCGGCACACCAUCUUCUCUAAACGCAUACUACUACGAGAGAGAGGGGGCACACACGGAACAGUUGGAAUUGAAACAAUUAAACAAAAAAGAGCAUACAUAAAAAAAAAGAAACAAACAAAAGGGAGAGAGAGGAUCACAUUUUGUUAAGCGCUUGUAGCUGCGCGAAUCCAUCCUCGGAUUCGCCGACGAGAGAACCUCUUCUUCCUCUUCGUCUCUUACCUUUUUGGGUGCCGUGAUAGUUAGAACACCAUCCGAAGAAAGGCUCGAGGUAAUAUUGAACACGUCGUGCGAUGGUGGCAAGACGUAUCUCCGUACAAAGUGUCUACUGACAAAUCCGUGCUCGUCUUGCCUCUCUUCGUGUUUGGCUUCGACAAUAACUUGGUUCCCGACCGUCUUCACCGUGAUCUCUUCCGGUGAGAAUUGUUGAACCUCCAGUAUUACCUGUCGCAGAUCAGAGCGAAGCAUUAAAAAGUACAGAACGGCAAAUUAGAGAGCAAUCUUUAAUAUUCCAGUAUAAAGCAGAAGGCGAUUAUAUCCCUUCGAGCACCAGACGACGAUGUUACCUGUCAUUGUUACGAUGAUGUACAGAGGCUAUAAACGAGAUCUGAACGAUCAUUGAAUUCGACGUUAAACUCUCUUGAGCACCGGCUUUUUCUUGUAACGUCUGACUACAUUUUUUGAUUGCGAAAGUUAAGUAUCACACUAUAAGUAUUUUCUUUGUUAAACCAUCGAGAGAGAAAGCCUCGUACGCUUAAUUUAAACGCGCCGCUUCAAGGCGGGCGAAGGCAACUUCGCCUGCUUCCAAAACCGAAAAACCACACCACCAUUAUAUCACCAUUAGCUGUUUCCUUCGCCAUAAACCAGGUUCUCUUCUCUUCCGGAAGAAGAUCUAGGUCUGGUUGAUAACGACUAAAUUGUGUAAUAUCAUUGCUACCGUACGCACAACUAUUUCUAGCAGCUAACCACUUGAAAAGAGAACAAAAUCGAUAAUACAAAUAUUCUGCUAUUUCUUGAUUAAAAUUCCUGCUAGCCUUGAAAUUGCGAAAGUUGUUUUCUGGAGAUAGUAUCAAAACAGGCAAUAGCCAGGAAAAUGUAGGAGACAUCUAUCAAAAUUCUCACCCGUUCGAGAACUCGUUAUAAUUUUUUCCAACUUUCAUGUAACCUCCGUGUAAAUCCGACGAUGAUAUUGUAGCCGAGCGUUUUUAGCGAUCGCGGGAAGAGUAAAACAGGAAAGAUGUAGUUGUCAAAUGCGGCGUACCUAUUUGUGUAAUAGUUUUUUUUCGUUCGUAGAGAAGAUCGAGCAUACCAUUCAAAUAGAUGAUACAAACAUCAUACGUUUUAUCGUGUAAACGAGCGAAGUCUUAGCGCGUUGAGUUAUCGCGCUAUACGCAUGUCUUUUUUCCUUUGAUGGAUCGUUUUAUCUUGCAGUGGUUAGCAGCUUGACAUUAAAUAAAAAGGAAAGGCAAUAAAAAGAGAGUAGGAAGGAGCGAACCGUGGUUCUUCAGGUGAUCCUUCGUGUGAUCCUGGAAACCCGGUAAGCGAAUUUUGUUUUCAACGAUUGAAAAAAAAAAAAAGUAAACGUUUAGUGAGAAAUACCAUUGUGGAAACCAUCUCUAUGUACCUCGAGCAAAAUAGCAAAAGACCAAGAUAAACCGAUUUUUUUGAAGCAUCUCGAGUGCUGCUGCAUACACAGAGAGACAUACGCGCGCCCGAAUUUUUGUAUAUAUAGACAUUUCGUAUUGAAUCGUUUUCUAUAUACGGUCUUAUCGUUAAUGAUUCGAGAAGCAUUUAUUUUUAUAUAGAGAUUAUUUAUAUAUAGCGAGCAAAGAGAUCCGAAAGGUUCAAGGAAACUCAGUUUUUAGUCCCGAGAGCGGCGCCCCCGUUUCGGGGGGGGUGCUUCGACACACACCUCACACUUUCUCGGUUCUUUCUGCUAAAAACAAAAAAAAAAAAAAAAACGAAGACUGAUUCUUGUGUGACACGAUCCAUUUUUCGGAUUUUAAAAGAAUAUUAAAAAAAACCACGUCCUCUUGAUAUAUAUUAUUGUAUUUGGUAUCGUUCGUAUAAAAGGAGUAUAAAGAUUCUUUUGGAGAAAAACGUAAAAAGGGUGUGGGCUCUUUGAAUCGUUGACAAAAAAAAAUGGCGUAAGCCGGUUAAACUGUGAUUUCAAGGGAAAGAAUUUCCUGGUGUUAAAAAAAGAGCGUGUCUGACAGAAAAACAAUAUCACGUUGUAAGAUCGGAGUGCAUAAAAUUUUCUUUUGUACAGUUUUUUGAACUUUUUCUUGCUACUCGAGUCAUUUAAACGUAAAAAAGAAUACAUAUAAGAGUAGUUUUCGAGUCCUGACUUUUCAUCCCACCGAACCCCUUCUUCCACCCCCUCUUCAUUGAGGGAGGGGGUUCCCCCGUUCGAAGAACAGUCCCGAAACGUGUUUUCCAAUUUCUUUUUUAUAAACCACAACAACAUACAGUGCUGUGAAUUAUCGAAAUAAAACGAAAGGUGAAAGGAAGCAGAUAGUGUGGAAACAGUAAUUAUGCAACGAGAAAAAACGAAAAUGCAACCGAGAAACACAAACAGCAGUAGUAGAAGCAGUAGCAGUAGCAGUAGUAGUAGUAGUGGCAGAAACAGAGAAAUCGGUUUUCGGGCCUUCUGGUGUUCCAGUUUUAACCCCUGAAAAUUUAUAUAGCCCUGUUUUUCUUUUAUCAUUCCGUUCAUUCGGUUGUGGUAACUGUUUUUAAUGAGUGUCAAACGAUUUCGUUCUAAUAAUAGUCCUGUUUUGAAACGUUACGUUAAUACAACUAUAUUUCGAUAAAAAUAUUUAAUAGUUUCUAAGUUUUUUUUUUUUUAGUUGUACGGUUUAGUUCUUCGUAAGUUUUUUUUUCUUUACAUAAAUUCAGCUUUCCUUUCUGUUUUCUUUAUCUUUUUACGAAUGCGCUCCUUAUACAUUCCCAUUAUCCUUUUUCUUAGAUCCAUCGAUCAAGUUUUCUUAGGUCUUGAAAAUAUCGAACAUAUUCAAUUAAAAAAUUUGGUUCCGUUUCUUUUCUAGACACGCGUUGACGAUAAUAAACGUUUCGUAGACUUUUAUGGGUGUCACACACGAUCUAAAAAAAGGUUAUCACUUUAGACUUCUAUCUCAGCCUAAGUUAGUCGACCGUGUUAGCCCGCGAAAUAGUGUAAAACAAAUAUUUCGCUCACUGUACUGAGAAACUCCAAGAUAAAAAUAGGGUUCAAAAUAUUAUGCUAUAUAUGGGUCAGUAAAUGUUUAGCCAGUUCUCUUCCAUUAAAAAAAAAAAACUUGUGGCGACAACAGCAUAUUACUCCUUUUAAAUCACAUUUAUCCAAUUACUAAGUUACAACUGUACUUCGAAACGAACGAUAAUAUAGAUAAUAUACGUGUAUAAUUCAGUGUAAAGUUCAAUUUCGAAAGUGUAUAGAAUGCGUGUGGUGUGAGUAGAGUUUAGGGUUCUAGGCUCUGAGGUUGAAAAUAAUAUUAGGACGUUUUAUCCAGUUCUCAAAUAUUCGAAAAUCUUGACACGUAGUUUAAAAAGGGACAGCUUUUCCUAAUCUUUAAAGGCUUUCGCGAGGAAAAAGUGUGUAUGUGUGUGUAAUAGUGCCUUUUUAUAAGAUUUAAUUUUGGAAGUUUGCUUCUUUCGCGAUUAUUUUUUUGCAUAUUUUACAUUUUAAUAUCCUAGUCGAGUCAAAACUUCAGCUUUUCUGAUCGUCUCGUUUAAAGCUUUACUCCUCGACUCGCAGCAACUUUUCCCGUGUUUGAUAUAUUUUUGGCUAUAUUUGAUCAGCAAUAAUUGAAUAGUUCGGUAUCCAAUUUUUGUCCCAAAAGCAAAUAUCUUUCUUGUAUUAAAAAGAAGGAAAGUCGGUUUUCUGCGUACAGUUAAGCAACGGCUAUCCCAUGACUUUCCGAUCUCAUCUGAAAGUUAUGGGAUAGUCGUUGUGGAAGUGUUCCAUGGUGCUAAUUAUUACAAGCUUCGAUAAUAAAAUGAGAACCGAUGGUAACAGCAAUACACACUUCAAAACUUCAACGAAAUAAUAUAAAGAUUCUAUGCACGUGUAGUGUGUGUGUUUCGAGUUGCUCGAAGUCGUGGGCGUUAACAAUUCUUCAAAAUUUCGACGAUUCUUACGAGAAGAGCUGUUAGACGCUUAAAAUUGCGCAAGAAGCUUCCUUCAGGUUUAAAGAACCAAUGGUCCGCCUAGGUAUUUUAUAAUAUAUAAUACGUACAUUAAUUUUUCUUUGACGAUAAGUAAGCAGUAUAAUAUCCAACUUCUGAGGUGUGUUAUAGAUAGAAAGAGGGAGGUACCUGUGUCGACUUUUUCCAUCUUUGCUUCUUAAUUUUGUCACUUUCUCGGCCUUUAAUUCAUUUCGUGACCAACUAACGCGACCCUAAGCUCUCAGGUUUUUCCCGCUCUCCUCUUCCGUGGGAUUCCGCUUCUGUGGAAUCCUGCGGAAGACGAGAUCCAUUUUCCCCGUUGCAGCAGUAUUUUAUCCAUCCUACUAAUGUUUUAAGCUUGAACGCUUGUGAGAACGAGCUUCAUAGAGAGAUCAUAGGCUCCAGAAAUUGUCGAGAAUUGUAAUAAGAGAUUGUGUGUCUAUUGCAACGCAAGUUUGUCACCUUACGUCUGUUGAGUCCAUAUGUACCAUCUAAAAAGAACUUGAACGUGUGCUAAAUACGAGAUCCAAGCGUGCCAUAAAUCGCAUUUCCUUGAUGAUACUAAUCGACAACUUCCAGAAAAUCAUUAUCGAGUCAACGUGAAAUUUAACGAUGUUAAACAUCUGAAACGUUCAAUAAUUUGCUUGCCUAGCCCUCAAACAAAAUCGAAGAAGAACGAGCGUGCUGAUAUACCAUUCAUCUUCGCAAGCAACGUACAUUUGCAACAGUGUGUAAAAUUAAGACACAGCCGAGUCUCGAUUUAUAGAAAUACAGAGAACGCGUGCCAUCUAAAAUCCAGCUAAAGAUAACAUUCAAGCACCGUGGUUAAUCCUUGUAAUCAGAUUCCAACUGAUAAUAUAAAAUCCAAACCACACAAAUUUUGAACGAUUAUUAUUGAGAAUUUUCAAGUUCGGUAAUCAGAGUAAAUACAUCAGCCGUAGUCUUCCAAUCAAUCAUAAUUGAGGUCCGUAUCCAUAGUUACCACUCGAAAUAUAAGGUAAUUGCAAUCAGACCUAUUGUCUCGUUACAGACAAUAGAUGUGAUUGAUACCGUCGAGUGAUAACUAUGGAUAUGGCUCGUGGUUCUCUGAUCCAAAGCAAUACAAUUACCGAUCUUCAAACAAAAGUACAACCAUCUCUAAAAAUGGCAAUAAUAAUCCUGUUUUCCAUUCACGAAUCAACAGACCAACCAGUACAAUAAAAAAAAAAGAUCCUUGACCACCAUCAGAUCGUCUGCUUACAAUCACGAACUUAGAACGAUCCUAACACGUAUGCUUCUCGAUCCACUGAUCCAUUUUGAAAUGGAUGCUUUAAACAAGUAGAGUCGCGCAAUUGCUUACCCACCUAAUCGUGAAUUACAAAUCCCAGCCAGCAUUUCCCGAGGGUUUUGCAAGUGUCAAAGUACAAUUUUGCAAAGUAGAAUCGUGAGAACGAAGAAAAUCACUUUUGCCCGCAAUCACGAGCUCAAAAUCCAUCCUCGUAAGUUCUCGAUCUCUACUUGAAAUUUUUCUCUGAGGGCUUAACAAGUUCGAGCCCGUUAAUAUUUCUCAGGCAUCAGAGAAAAAUCACAGUUCCUCUUCCAUCAGUUCGUGCAAUAUUAAAAGAAAUCGUUUCCACUCACCUGGAAGUUGUCCUUGCUGUCGAUCUGAAUCGUGCUCGAUCCGCUCGAGUGUUGGCGCGUUACGUUCCUCCACGGACGGUAGUACCUAUCGCGAAAAAUCGAGCGUAGGGGUCUGUCGAGACUUAGAUCGGAGAACCUUGAUAUCAGAUCGUCUCGAUUAAGUCCUCUGCCGAAGUGUUGGUCCAUCAAUCGGGACACCGGGCGAUCGAAAUCGUCCCACCAGUCACGAAAAACCAAAGGUACUACGGACAUCUGUACAAUAAAAAAAAAAAGAAACAAAAAUGAGAUUAGAAAGGAGAUAAUAAAGUACGUUAAAACAUCGUCGGUCAAGUUCUUGCUUUUCGAUCUAGGACUAGUGUAAGAUUAAAGAGGGAUGGGAGGGAGAGAAUUAUGAAAUGUGUGACAUGUACGUAUUAAAUACGGUUUAGUACAAGCGACGACGGGGAAGUGAUGGAUUAGAAGAGAGGAGUAUGUUUUUAGGGCUAAGGUGUUUUACUAACAAUCGUACUAGAUUCAUGAUUAUUGAGCUUAAAAACCUGUUAAUGUGUGUUACUCGCCCGUCUGUCGUUUUUAACUAUAAGGGACACGAUAAUCCGCAGAUCAUAGAUCGAUCUCGGGUAACGAAUAUUAUAUAUAUAUAUAUCCUGAUGUAUGAACAUAGGUGAAGAAAGGGGAGGAUAGGUGAACGGAAGAUGGAGUAAAAUGGGGGGUUUAUUCGCUGAGACACCGUGAAGAGUUCUUGCUACAAUUUAGCGUAGAAACACUAAUUUUGAUGCUGAAAGAUCCUUUUACGCGUUUCCUCGAGGGUACUUAACGAUAAUAAUUCUCUUAUACGCACAACAGACGAUCAAGGGUAGUAGAGUGAUUUGUUUUCGGAUCUUUGCAUCUACGAUAUGAAAAUCCUCGAUAGAAACAGACACGUGACAGCUCGAAUCUAUAUUAAUCUUUUUUUUAACGUGUACGCGAUAUGUAUUUUAUUACACAUUAGAUUACUAAAACAUAUAAAAAAAUAUUUGAUCAAAUUGAGAAAUAAAAAUUGUAAAAAACAAAAGGGCAUUCGAGGUCCCAUCGCGCUCGUUGGAGAAUCCUUUCUCUUCGAGCAAAAUACUUGACAUCGAAAAUGACGAACAUCGUUGAAUGAAACUAGAUUCACAGGUGUAAACGACCGCGAGUGAGAAUUUAUCAAUCAAGAGUUAGAAAAUCGUGUCGAUCACGGGGUAUAAAACGCGGACGUGCUAAUAUUUGACGAAGAAAAGGAAAGUGGGCUGCGCGUUUGUUAGGAUAACAAGUGUAACGGAAGGAAGGAUUUAGAAAACAAAAACGUGUUAGGCAUUUUCCAUCGAAUACCCCAUAAUUCGUGUGGUAGCUCAAUAAUAGGUUAUGUGUUUUAGGAACUUAAGUGUAUUAGGGACAGGAUAACUUUACCACCACUGAGAUAGUACGACUAGGAGUUAGCUGAAGUAUGCAAGGGGUGGUUUUAUGACCACAUCAUGUGCGUUCACACGAAUAACAACGCGUGUUUUAAUUCAGAAGAGAUCAUAUGUAUCUCGGUAUAUUAAAGAGAAAGCGUUAACGCUAUUUUACGAUCAAAACUACUAAUAGAACUUGAAGAUGAAGCACAGUUGUAGGCGUUGAAAAAGAAAAGCUAGUGCUGAUAGAAGGGAGGAAAUCAGUGUUUAAUCGCGUUGUAUAUCAUAAAACCAGACAUGUACUUAACUUUUCAGCACUAACGUGUUUUACACUACUAAUUCGAAUUAUCAGACAAUACUUGUUUGUUUGCUUAGUAAAGGGUAAAAGCGUGUAUGGUUAAUUCAUACGCGUCAAGUACGAUAGGGGGAAGACCUUAAUUAAAAUGUGCGUCUUUAGUCUUUCUCAAAGAUUUUCAGCACUGCGUGCGCAAUAAUUGACACCUAUUUUUACGCACUUCAUAUUAAAAAAUACGAGAUUUCGAAUAUUAUUUGAGAAAGACGGUUAAAGGAAUACGAUGGGGAAAGAGCAGAGAAAAUCCGCGUGUUAGUAGGUUUAAGGUGUUUCGCAUAACACUUUCGGAUUAGGAUACGGUAUUAUUAACACCACGGACACUUUUCGGAAGGGGAUUCAAACUUGUAUAGGUAGUAAAGGUGUAACUAGUCCUUAAGGUUUAACAGCUCUUUGGGAUUUUCACUAACGUUAGGAGUUACUAUUUACUAUUUCGCGAAAAGCGUUGCUUUUUUUUAUCGUCCGACGAAAGUAAGAACACCGACUGGAUCACACCAGAGAUAAAAACAUCACGAUCAUGACAAAAGCACAAUUUGCUAAAACUUUGAGAGCGUUUAUGGUACUACCGUGAAUUUUAUGUGGUUUCUACGGGAAAACUUGUGGAGUUAGACUUGAUGCGUUUCAAGCUCGAGCCAACAGCGAACACUUCCGACGAUUCACUAAUAAGAGCACGAAAAUUCGGAGGAAUGAAUUUCGACUGAUUCAGCUACGAAUACGCGAGAAGCUUAAAUAGGCGUCUUCGAAGCGCGUCUCGACGCCUACGCUAAUCCACCACCGACAUUUUCAAUACACCCACGAUUGUUCACGUGACGUUUUACACUGACUCUUCUCGCCUAAAAAUACACCAUCCCAAUGUGUCUAAUGAAAACUAUGACAGAGGGAGGGGCGCAGAAUCUUUAUUGUGAUUCAGUGUUUUUGAUCAUUUUGGCACACCUCGUGUGCGUAAAACCUUCUGAUUUUUCUGCUGGACUCAAGACGUUGCAAUGCUUCGAAUACCCACCCCAGGGUCAACUCAGAUAAAUUCCAACACUUUUGAAAGGUCUCUCAAUUCGAGAGACAAAUAUAUUUUAUCCUCUCGACAAUUAAUUCAGUGUUAAGCCUCGUUAAAGUAUACCUCGUGAUUACUGCUGCAAUAUCAUCGUUCAAUUUGUCCUAAUUAUUCAUUAGAGAGAGUGCUAAUAAGGAGAGCCCUGUAUAUCUGUUAACGGUAUUGUACGUAUCAAUUAGGGUGCCCACACCUUUUAAUAAUAAUAAUAAUGAUAAUAAUAAUAAUAAUUGCACACACUUGAACCACCAACCUCUCUACUAAUAAGCUUUGUCCAUAUAUUGAGUUUCCAUUUAAAUAACAAGGAAUCUUCGAAGUAAAUAUCGAGCUGUGUGUUGAAACGCCAUAUUUCUUAGGUGGGAUUGUUCUUUUUCUCUUAUUUAGCUUUUCAGCUGUGUUUUUAUCACGAAUUUUUCGAUGUUCGCUUGCAAUUUUGCAGUGCAUAAAGCUCUAAGCAAUCUUUCAGCAUGAUGUUAACUAUUAUCACCCUCGAUAUAUUAAUAUAUAAUGUCUUCGUAAGGAAUGUAUAUUAAUAACGAACAAUAACAACGUACCUUGCUUUUAAAAACCACGCAUCGUUCGAUUUUUUCGAAAUGAGAUCGAGGUGUGUGUCUGCACUUCUUAAACGAAGGGAGCCUUUUUAACAUCCGAACGCAUAUAUGUUACAUAUUAAUAUAUAUACGGUAUAUAUACAUUACUAUACGAGAUAUACAUAUUUAUGUCUAGGGUGCGGGUUUAAAUUAAGAAACAUUUAAACAUUAAUUUUCCUUAAUAAACGUGUAAAAAAAAAAAUAUUAAAAAAUGACGGGUUUUCGAGGAUAUCUUGAUUCUCGUCACCAAAAAAAAAUUGAAACAAUAAUUCAAUUAUACACUAGAGUAUGUGUUUUAAAUAUCAUCGAGUAUGAACUAUUUACCGAUACUCUAUUAUAUAAUUAGCGUGUACGAUACUCGCUAGGAUUAUUUCCUGAACUCCUUCCUACUUAUUGUUAGUAAAAACAAGUGCGAGUAAUAAUUGAAAAAAAUUAAUUCUGUAAUAAGUUUUACAUUAUUUUUACUUAACAAUUUUUAAUACGAUAUGACUAAUUGUAAACAGUAAUCAGAGAGAAUACGUGUAAAUUUGGUUUUGCAAACUGAACAAUGCAAUUCAAGAGCAAAUGAGAAUAAUAACAUCUUCUGUAAUCACAACGACAAUGAUUGCGCAAAACAAUAAGAAUAACAACCGUGAGAGCGCUUGUUUAGUGGGUAAAUAUUCUAGAUUUUAGAGGAGCAUAAUUCAGGAUACAUUUAUGUAAUUUUGUUUAUUUUUAAGUUGAUUCGAUUUAAAAGAAGGAACACCUUGAAAAUAAGUAAUUAACAAAUCUACUGUGCGGCAUUAUAGCGAUAAAAUAUAUAACUACUAGUAGGCUUAACGAUUAAAUGAUUUAGGUAAUCGACCAAAUAUUAUGAUAAUCGAUACAUAUAUGUUGUAUAUGGUUCCAAAACUAUAAUAUUCGUGUUUUCGUGUUUUUAACUAUGGUUAGGCAUUGCUGUGUGUAAAGUCCUACACGUCAGAUUUAUAAAAAAAAAAAAAAAUAA
Osmia lignaria (orchard mason bee) is the source of this 10464-nucleotide long non-coding RNA. RefSeq lists it as uncharacterized. The record is from RefSeq and is a predicted model, not a curated record. Lineage: Eukaryota; Metazoa; Arthropoda; Insecta; Hymenoptera; Megachilidae.